GACGAACGCUGGCGGCGUGCUUAACACAUGCAAGUCGAGCGAUGAACCUUUCAUGAAUUUUUCGGAAUGAUUGGAAGAGGAUUAGCGGCGGACGGGUGAGUAACGCGUGAGCAACCUGCCUUAAACAACGGGAUAGCCUCGGGAAACCGGGAUUAAUACCGUAUGAGACCCCGCCUUCACAUGAAGAAGAGGUUAAAGAUUUAUCGGUUUAAGAUGGGCUCGCGUCUGAUUAGCUAGUUGGUGAGAUAAAAGCCCACCAAGGCAACGAUCAGUAGCCGGCUUGAGAGAGUGAACGGUCCCAUUGGAACUGAGAGACGGUCCAAACUCCUACGGGAGGCAGCAGUGGGGAAUAUUGCACAAUGGGGGAAACCCUGAUGCAGCGACGCCGCGUGAGCGAUGAAGGAAUUCGUUUCGUAAAGCUCUGUCCAAGGGGAAGAUAAUGGCAGUACCCUUGGAGGAAGCCCCGGCUAAAUACGUGCCAGCCGCCGCCGUAA
Molecule: ribosomal RNA, 494 nt
Filed under: uncultured bacterium
Lineage: Bacteria
Description: partial 16S ribosomal RNA
Rfam family: Bacterial small subunit ribosomal RNA
Source: RNAcentral